CCUACGGGAGGCAGCAGUGGGGAAUAUUGGGCAAUGGGCGCAAGCCUGACCCAGCAACGCCGCGUGAAGGAAGAAGGCUUUCGGGUUGUAAACUUCUUUUCUCAGGGACGAAGCAAGUGACGGUACCUGCGGAAUAAGCCUCCGCUAACUACGUGCCAGCAGCCGCGGGAAUCCGUAGGUGGCAAGCGUUAUCCGGAUGUACUGGGUGUAAAGGGCUUGUAGGCGGGAAAGCAAGUCAGAUGUGAAAACCAUGGGCUCAACCUGUGGCGAGCAGUUGAAACUGUGUGUCGUGAGUACUGGAGAGGUAGACGGAAUGCGGAGUGUAGCGGUGAAAUGCGUAGAUAUUAGGAGGAACAACAGUGGCGAAGGCGGUCUGCUGGACAGCAACUGACGCUGAGGCGCGAAAGCGUGGGGAGCAAACAGGAUUAGAUACCCUUGUAGUC
RNAcentral lists this ribosomal RNA (443 nucleotides) under uncultured bacterium. RNAcentral's name for it is "partial 16S ribosomal RNA". It matches the Rfam family "Bacterial small subunit ribosomal RNA", at positions 338 to 795 of the family's 1533-position model. The record is from RNAcentral.